RNAcentral lists this ribosomal RNA (397 nucleotides) under uncultured bacterium. Its description in RNAcentral is "partial 16S ribosomal RNA". It matches the Rfam family "Bacterial small subunit ribosomal RNA", at positions 523 to 918 of the family's 1533-position model. The record is from RNAcentral.
AUACGUAGGUGACAAGCGUUAUCCGGAUUUACUGGGUGUAAAGGGCGUGUAGGCGGUUUAGCAAGUCAGAAGUGAAAUUCCCGGGCUUAACUUGGGCGCUGCUUCUGAAACUGCUUUACUUGAGUGCUGGAGAGGAUAGUGGAAUUCCUAGUGUAGCGGUAAAAUGCGCAGAUAUUAGGAGGAACACCGGUGGCGAAGGCGGCUAUCUGGACAGUAACUGACGCUGAGGCGCGAAAGCACGGGGAGCAAACAGGAUUAGAUACCCUGGUAGUCCGUGCCGUAAACGAUGAACACUAGGUGUAGGGGGUAUCGACUCCCUCUGUGCCGCAGUUAACACAUUAAGUAUUCCACCUGGGGAGUACGGCCGCAAGGUUGAAACUCAAAUGAAUUGGCGGGG